This 253-nucleotide ribosomal RNA is filed under the name uncultured archaeon. RNAcentral describes it as "partial 16S ribosomal RNA". It matches the Rfam family "Archaeal small subunit ribosomal RNA", at positions 474 to 726 of the family's 1478-position model. The record is from RNAcentral.
UCCCAGCAGUCCAAGUCGCAGCCACAUUUGUUGGGUCUAAAAUAUCCGUAGCUUGCCUUUCAAGUCUUUUGUGAAAUCGGGACUCUUAAGGUUCCGGCGGGCAAAAGAUACUGUUUGGCUAGAGACCGGGAGGCGUAAGAAGUACAUAUAGGGUAACGGUAAAAUGUGUUGAUCCUAUAUGGACUAACAGUCGCGAAGGCGUCUUACGAGAACGGUUCUGACAGUGAGGGAUGAAGGCUAGGGGCGCAAAGUG